This 990-nucleotide ribosomal RNA is filed under the name human gut metagenome. RNAcentral describes it as "bacterial LSU rRNA". It matches the Rfam family "Bacterial large subunit ribosomal RNA", at positions 1934 to 2925 of the family's 2925-position model. The record is from RNAcentral.
CCGUAACUAUAACGGUCCUAAGGUAGCGAAAUUCCUUGUCGGGUAAGUUCCGACCCGCACGAAAGGCGUAAUGAUUUGAGCGCUGUCUCGACAAUGCACCCGGUGAAAUUGAAAUACCAGUGAAGAUGCUGGUUACCUGCGCCAGGACGGAAAGACCCCAUGGAGCUUUACUCCAGCUUGAUACUGGGAUUCGGUAUUGCAUGUACAGGAUAGGUGGGAGACUGAGAAACUAGGACGCCAGUCUUAGAUGAGUCGCUGUUGGGAUACCACCCCUGCGGUAUUGGAUUUCUAACCAGCAGCCGUGAACCGGCUGGGGGACAAUGUCAGGUGGGGAGUUUGACUGGGGCGGUCGCCUCCGAAAGGGUAUCGGAGGCGCUCAAAGGUUCCCUCAGAAUGGUUGGAAACCAUUCGAAGAGUGCAAAGGCAGAAGGGAGCUUGACUGCGACACCGACGGGUGGAGCAGGUACGAAAGUAGGACUUAGUGAUCCGGUGGUAUAAAGUGGGAUUGCCAUCGCUCAACGGAUAAAAGCUACCCUGGGGAUAACAGGCUUAUCACUCCCAAGAGUUCACAUCGACGGAGUGGUUUGGCACCUCGAUGUCGGCUCAUCGCAUCCUGGGGCUGUAGUAGGUCCCAAGGGUUGGGCUGUUCGCCCAUUAAAGCGGUACGCGAGCUGGGUUCAGAACGUCGUGAGACAGUUCGGUCCCUAUCCGGCGCGGGCGUAGGAUAUUUGAGAGGAGCUGCCCUUAGUACGAGAGGACCGGGGUGGACUGGCCUCUGGUGUAUCUGUUGAGCCAUCAGGCUCAUGGCAGAGUAGCCAAGCCGGGACGGGAUAAACGCUGAAGGCAUCUAAGCGUGAAGCCCCCCUCAAGAUGAGAUAUCCCAUACGCAAGUAGUAAGACCCCUUGAAGACGACGAGGUAGAUAGGGCAGAGGUGGAAGUGCCGUAAGGCAUGGAGCUGACUGUUACUAAUCGGUCGAGGGCUUAACCAA